This 1226-nucleotide ribosomal RNA is filed under the name metagenome. RNAcentral describes it as "bacterial SSU rRNA". It matches the Rfam family "Bacterial small subunit ribosomal RNA", at positions 76 to 1305 of the family's 1533-position model. The record is from RNAcentral.
GGGGCAACCUGGUGGCGAGUGGCGAACGGGUGAGUAAUAUAUCGGAACGUGCCCUGGAGUGGGGGAUAACGUAGCGAAAGUUACGCUAAUACCGCAUACGAUCUCAGGAUGAAAGCAGGGGACCGCAAGGCCUUGUGCUCCUGGAGCGGCCGAUAUCUGAUUAGCUAGUUGGUGGGGUAAAAGCCUACCAAAGCGACGAUCAGUAGCUGGUCUGAGAGGACGACCAGCCACACUGGAACUGAGACACGGUCCAGACUCCUACGGGAGGCAGCAGUGGGGAAUUUUGGACAAUGGGGGCAACCCUGAUCCAGCAAUGCCGCGUGUGUGAAGAAGGCCUUCGGGUUGUAGAGCACUUUUGUCAGGAACGAAACGGUUGGGGCUAAUAUCCCUAGCUAAUGACGGUACCUGAAGAAUAAGCACCGGCUAACUACGUGCCAGCAGCCGCGGUAAUACGUAGGGUGCAAGCGUUAAUCGGAAUUACUGGGCGUAAAGCGUGCGCAGGCGGUUAUGUAAGACAGAUGUGAAAUGCCCGGGCUUAACCUGGGGACUGCAUUUGUGACUGCAUGGCUAGAAUCUGGCAGAGGGGGGUAGAAUUCCACGUGUAGCAGUGAAAUGCGUAGAGAUGUGGAGGAACACCGAUGGCGAAGGCAGCCCCCUGGGCUAAGAUUGACGCUCAUGCACGAAAGCGUGGGGAGCAAACAGGAUUAGAUACCCUGGUAGUCCACGCCCUAAACGAUGUCUACUAGUUGUCGGGUCUUAAUUGACUUGGUAACGCAGCAAACGCGUGAAGUAGACCGCCUGGGGAGUACGGUCGCAAGAUUAAAACUCAAAGGAAUUGACGGGGACCCGCACAAGCGGUGGAUGAUGUGGAUUAAUUCGAUGCAACGCGAAAAACCUUACCUACCCUUGACAUGGAAGGAAUCCCUGAGAGAUUGGGGAGUGCUCGAAAGAGAACCUUUACACAGGUGCUGCAUGGCUGUCGUCAGCUCGUGUCGUGAGAUGUUGGGUUAAGUCCCGCAACGAGCGCAACCCUUGUCAUUAGUUGCUACGCAAGAGCACUCUAAUGAGACUGCCGGUGACAAACCGGAGGAAGGUGGGGAUGACGUCAAGUCCUCAUGGCCCUUAUGGGUAGGGCUUCACACGUCAUACAAUGGUACAUACAGAGGGCCGCCAACCCGCGAGGGGGAGCUAAUCCCAGAAAGUGUAUCGUAGUCCGGAUUGGAGUC